UCGCCUGUUUUAUCAAAAACAUCGCCAUAAAAAAAAUUAUGGUAGAAUCUGCCCAGUGAAUAUUUUUAACGGCCGCAGUACUUUAACUGUGCUAAGGUAGCAUAAUCAUUAGCCUUCUAAUUAAAGGCUUGUAUAAAUGAUCUGACGAGAGACUUUCUGUUUCAGUAAGAUAAAAUAAAUUAAGAAAGAGAUCAAAACCUCUCUGGCCUUCAAAAGGACGACAAGACCCUAUAAAACUUUACUUUUUUUUUGAAAUUUCUUCCUGAGAAUUUUUUUCUUUCAUUAAAAGUUAUACUGGGGCGGUAAAUUUUAAUUUCAACUAAAUAUAUCAAAACAAGCUGAAUGAUCUCUGUAAACACUUCCUAAGUAAUAAAGAACAAGUUACUUUAGGGAUAACAGCGUAAUUUUUCUUUAGAGCCCCUAUCGACAGAGAAGUUUACGACCUCGAUGUUGAAUUGAAACCCCUGAGUAGAGCAGCUUUUACUCCCAGGAAGUCUGUUCGACUUUUUAAUUUUCACAUGAUCUGAGUUCCAAACCGGA
This 540-nucleotide ribosomal RNA is filed under the name Cymodopsis sp. RW04.171.1141. RNAcentral's name for it is "partial 16S ribosomal RNA". It matches the Rfam family "Bacterial large subunit ribosomal RNA", at positions 1796 to 2621 of the family's 2925-position model. The record is from RNAcentral. Lineage: Eukaryota; Metazoa; Arthropoda; Malacostraca; Isopoda; Sphaeromatidae.